GAUGGGGAUACGUGGAUAGGGUAUGUUGGAUUCCAAGCUCAGACCAUUAGGAAUCAUUCUUCCAGAGUCCUGGACCAAGACUGUUUAGUUUGCUGGCACCUACACCUAUGCAUCUCGGUAGUGCUGUUUCUCAACAUUGGAUAUCAG
Hyla sarda is the source of this 147-nucleotide long non-coding RNA. RefSeq lists it as uncharacterized. The record is from RefSeq and is a predicted model, not a curated record. Lineage: Eukaryota; Metazoa; Chordata; Amphibia; Anura; Hylidae. The transcript is spliced from 3 exons.